This 433-nucleotide ribosomal RNA is filed under the name uncultured bacterium. Its description in RNAcentral is "partial 16S ribosomal RNA". It matches the Rfam family "Bacterial small subunit ribosomal RNA", at positions 29 to 507 of the family's 1533-position model. The record is from RNAcentral.
AACGAACGCUGGCGGCAUGCCUAACACAUGCAAGUCGAACGAGACCUUCGGGUCUAGUGGCGCACGGGUGCGUAACGCGUGGGAGCCUGCCCUUAGGUUCGGAAUAACUCCCCGAAAGGGGUGCUAAUACCGGAUAAUGUCUUCGGACCAAAGAUUUAUCGCCUUUGGAUGGGCCCGCGUUGGAUUAGCUAGUUGGUAGGGUAAAAGCCUACCAAGGCGACGAUCCAUAGCUGGUCUGAGAGGAUGAUCAGCCGCACUGGGACUGAGACACGGCCCAGACUCCUACGGGAGGCAGCAGUGGGGAAUAUUGGACAAUGGGCGAAAGCCUGAUCCAGCAAUGCCGCGUGAGUGAUGAAGGCCUUAGGGUUGUAAAGCUCUUUUACCCGGGAUGAUAAUGACAGUACCGGGAGAAUAAGCUCCGGCUAACUCCGUG